Molecule: ribosomal RNA, 447 nt
Filed under: Yamadazyma aaseri
Lineage: Eukaryota; Fungi; Ascomycota; Pichiomycetes; Serinales; Debaryomycetaceae
Description: eukaryotic LSU rRNA
Rfam family: Eukaryotic large subunit ribosomal RNA
Source: RNAcentral
ACUGAUGCUAGAGCGGGAGUGAGCGGCUAGCUCAAUUUGAUCUCGGCACCUUCGGUGUCCGAGUUGUAAUUUGAAGAAGGUAUCUUGGUUUGGCUUUGUCUAUUGUUCGUGUGAACAGGACGUCACAGAGGGUGAGAAUCCCGUGGCGACAAGUCGCCCCUCUCCUAGGAAAGCUCCUUCCAGCAGAUCAAUGUGUUGGGAAUGCGCUCUAGGGGGGGGUAAAUUCCAUCAAAGCUUAAAUAUUGCGAGAGCGUUGGCGACAGUACUGUGAAGAAAGAUGGAAGAACUGGAAAGAGAGUGAAAAAGACUGUGAAUUGUUGCGAGCUGGAGUCAACUGGUUCACACGCAGCAUCAUUGUAGCGAUAUAUCAAAUGGCACGUCGGUGCUAACUUUGGAACCGCGCCCAUUGAACGCCUUCAAAGUGGAUGACUCACCCCUUAAAACACA